CUAAGGGAGCUAGCGUUGUUCGGAAUCACUGGGCGUAAAGCGCACGUAGGCGGAUUUGUAAGUCAGGGGGUGAAAUCCCGGGGCUCAACCUCGGACUGCCUCUGAUACUGCAAAUCUCGAGUCCGGAAGAGGUGGGUGGAAUUCCUAGUGUAGAGGUGAAAUUCGUAGAUAUUAGGAAGAACACCGGUGGCGAAGGCGGCCCACUGGUCCGGUACUGACGCUGAGGUGCGAAAGCGUGGGGAGCAAACAGGAUU
This 254-nucleotide ribosomal RNA is filed under the name uncultured bacterium. Its description in RNAcentral is "partial 16S ribosomal RNA". It matches the Rfam family "Bacterial small subunit ribosomal RNA", at positions 526 to 779 of the family's 1533-position model. The record is from RNAcentral.